GAUGAACGCUGGCGGCGUGCUUAACACAUGCAAGUCGAACGAUGAAGCCCAGCUUGCUGGGUGGAUUAGUGGCGAACGGGUGAGUAACACGUGAGUAACCUGCCCUUAACUCUGGGAUAAGCCUGGGAAACUGGGUCUAAUACCUGAUAGGAGCGUCCACCGCAUGGUGGGUGUUGGAAAGAUUUAUCGGUUUUGGAUGGACUCGCGGCCUAUCAGCUUGUUGGUGAGGUAAUGGCUCACCAAGGCGACGACGGGUAGCCGGCCUGAGAGGGUGACCGGCCACCAUGGGACUGAGAGACGGCCCAGACUCCUACGGGAGGCAGCAGUGGGGAAUAUUGCACAAUGGGCGCAAGCCUGAUGCAGCGACGCCGCGUGAGGGAUGACGGCCUUCGGGUUGUAAACCUCUUUCAGUAGGGAAGAAGCGAAAGUGACGGUACCUGCAGAAGAAGCACCGGCUAACUACGUG
RNAcentral lists this ribosomal RNA (466 nucleotides) under uncultured bacterium. RNAcentral's name for it is "partial 16S ribosomal RNA". It matches the Rfam family "Bacterial small subunit ribosomal RNA", at positions 28 to 507 of the family's 1533-position model. The record is from RNAcentral.